Molecule: transfer RNA, 73 nt
Filed under: Pseudo-nitzschia americana
Lineage: Eukaryota; Bacillariophyta; Bacillariophyceae; Bacillariales; Bacillariaceae
Also listed under: 2 other names
Description: tRNA-Phe
Rfam family: tRNA
About the family: Transfer RNA (tRNA) molecules are approximately 80 nucleotides in length.
Source: RNAcentral
GUUCAAAUAGCUCAGUAGGUAGAGCAAAGGACUGAAAAUCCUUGUGACGGCAGUUCGAGUCUGCCUUUGAACA